AGAAUGAACUACUAGGAAAAAUAGCCUUUUUAGAUUCAGAAGAGGAAACCAGAAAUCUACCUCCUUCAGAACUUGAUGAACGAGCCUCAUCAAAAAUGGAGCUCGAUCAGCUGCUAGCACAAGAAGAGUUUCAUGGAAAUAGCAUUCACAUAUUCAAUGGAUCAACAAUGAAGAUCGUAAUACCAGAUUUUUAUAUUUAUGGGCUCGUAACAGG
This 214-nucleotide long non-coding RNA is filed under the name Elaeis guineensis (African oil palm). Its description in RNAcentral is "long non-coding RNA (EGUI_LNC001794)". The record is from RNAcentral. Lineage: Eukaryota; Viridiplantae; Streptophyta; Magnoliopsida; Arecales; Arecaceae.